Cyprinus carpio carpio is the source of this 2732-nucleotide long non-coding RNA. Lineage: Eukaryota; Metazoa; Chordata; Actinopteri; Cypriniformes; Cyprinidae. The record is from Ensembl.
GUUGAUUCCAGGCAGGGGCGGGGCUACACUAUGAAGGGGGAGGAGCCAUCCGGCGCGUCAUUCACACAGAGACAGUUCCAGCAUUUCUUUAUUACAGUAUGGAACCAAACUAAACUGUAUCUGAACUUUGGGUUAGGAAUUAACUGCAUUUUCAUAUUUGUAAAUUAGUCUUUUUGAGAACAAUCUGUGUUUCAUGUGAAAAAGGUGUUGAUAAUUAAUAUUUAGACUGAUUCUCCAGCUGCCUGUGAUAUAUACCUCACUGCUGCUGCUCGAAUAUAUAACCUAAAAUACACACUUCAGUACAGCUUUGCUUCAUUACAAGCGUAAAAAACCCAUUUGCUCGUCUGUUUGACCAGACGGCUAUAGAGAGAGCAGGUCCUGACCGAGGAGAGGGACACUGAUGAUGAUGAUGAGGAUGAUGAGGAUGAUGCGGGUCUUCUCAGGUUUCUGAACGAGAGAACAUGAAAGCAUGCAUGCCAAAGGAACUGGAAACGGUGGAGAUGUUCAGGAGAGCUCACACGAGACUUCCUCUUUAAUGACUUCAUUCCUUCAGAAAGUUCACAUGUACAAAAUUGCAGAGAAUUUACAAAUCAUUUCUCAAAAACACAGUUGUCAUGUGCUAAAAUGAGCUGAACAACCGCAGAGGAAACAAGAGGAUUUUUUUGUGUUGUUUUCAAAUAUAAAAAAAUAUUCCUCUGAAUGAUGGACUGAAUAUGACCGAAGCUCAGAUUAUACUCUUACCUUCAUCAGUUCUCUACUCACAGACAUUCAACAUUAAACUCUAUUCGUUGCAGCAGAGAAACUCUGUAUUUAUUCUGUAUUUUGGAUUAUAUUUCAAGCUUUAAGCACACCGUCAGCUGAUCACUUCACCUAAAGCUCUCAUAGGUUCAGCCAGUUCUUAAAAAUCUCUUCAUAGAAAAAAACAAAAAAAAAGUCCCAAGCAGUUGAUUUUUAUCAUCUCGCAUCAUCUGAAUAAUGUUUUCACUAAAAUUAACAAUCUUGAAUAUAAUAUAGGUUUAUCAAUAUACAUGUUUCUAUAAUGUGUGAAGGUCACAGGGUCGCGUGUGUGUUAAACGUCACACACAGAGCGUGUCUUCUCCGUGAACAUGUGCCCGAGCCCCACUUCAGGCAGAUACUGAAUUCAACUGCAUCGCCUUCCUCAUCAAUUAAAACAAUGACUGACCAACACAGACAGACCUGUGACAAUAACCACACUAAUUAUAAAGUGCUCAUUCUGAAUAGCACUAAUUACAAAGGUCGUAAGAAAUUCAUAAGAAAGCAUUCUUCUACAUUUUUGUUUUUUAGUUCAAGGCGAUACAUUAGAAAGGAUCUGCGCUCGGAGCCUCACACACAGCAGCUCGGCGUCUGGAUCACUUGGAGAUCUGCUGCUGCAGGUGCAGGAGGAACUCGUAGUAGGAGAGAGCGGAUUCACUGACAUCCUCGAUCAUGUUCUGCAUGAACUCAGCCUUGAGCGGAGACUCGUCUCUGAAACCAAAGAGAGCAGCGUCAGACUCUCGUCGUCAUUCAGACCGCAUGAAUUUUUUUUUUUAAUGAAGCGUGUUCUGACCUGAUGACGUGCAGGAUGGGGUGGAACGGCCGCUGCUCUCUCAGCCAGUCGACGAACGCUCGCAGUCGUGAUGAUCUGGCCGUAAGAGCAGCGAUGGCCUGAACAUCAGCUCCAGCGAAGAUGUCCGACAGAGAGUUGACCACCGGCAGACACAGCGUGUGCACACGGAUCCUCCGCUCUCCUGCAACAGCACAGAAGAGCACAUCGAGCGUCACAUGAUCAGUCGAGCGUCACAUGAUCAGUCGAGCGUCACAUGAUCAGUCGAGCGUCACAUGAUCAGUGGAGCGUCACAUGAUCAGUCGAGCGUCACAUGAGCAUUCGAGCGUCACAUGACACGUCUGUGUCACAUGAUUAGUCGAGCGUCACAUGACACGUCACAUGAUCAGUCGAGCGUCACAUGAUCAGUCGAGCGUCACAUGACACGUCACAUGAUCAGUCGAGCAUCACAUGAUCAGUCUGCACGUCACAUGACACAUCACAUGAUCAGUGGAGCGUCACAUGACACGUCACAUGAUCAGUCGAGCGUCACAUGAUCAGUCGAGCGUCGCGCACCUUUGCUGGCGGUGUAGAGCAGCGCGGCCUGGAAGGACACGGUCUGCAGGUCCAGCAGGUUCUCCUCGAUGCUCAUCUGCACGGCGAAGCCGGCGUCGGGGUUCACGUUGGGCAGAGACAGCAGGUCGGUGGAGCGCACGAAGAAGUUCCCGUGGAAGGUGUGUAUGGACAGACCUGCAGACGACAGAAGAACACGUCAGUGUUCAGCAGGGCUGGACUCAGACCGACGCCUCACUCCACACACCUUUAGUGCAGCGGAUCCUCAUCACGGCCUCGAAGCCGAUCUUGCGCGUCAGGUAUCUCUUCAGAUCCUUCUGGAGGCGCUCCGUCUGAGGCGGGUUGUGCUGCUUGUGGUAUGAAGGGUAGAAAUAGACGCUUCCGGCCGAGUAUCUGGAUAUACAGCCUUCAGGAGGAGACGAAGGAUCGAUCGUUAGAGUUUAUACACACACAAACAUCACUGGAUCAAUCAUGUUUUAGAGUCUCAAAUCUGAUCAUCAGGAUCUUUUGAGGAGCGUUUGUUUCCAGAAGCUUUACUUUCACUGUUCCUCAGCGGAGGAAUGAUCUUCACAAGCCUCCAGAACAUCUCACAUCUUCUGAGGAGCCUUUAUUUCUU